Molecule: ribosomal RNA, 1356 nt
Filed under: uncultured marine eukaryote
Lineage: Eukaryota
Description: SSU rRNA
Rfam family: Eukaryotic small subunit ribosomal RNA
Source: RNAcentral
CACUUCUAAGGAAGGCAGCAGGCGCGCAAAUUACCCAAUCCUGACUCAGGGAGGUAGUGACAAGAAAUAACAAUAAACCGGCUUAUGCCGGUUUAAUUGGAAUGAGUACAAUUUAAACAUCUUAACGAGGAACAAUUGGAGGGCAAGUCUAGUGCCAGCAGCCGCGGUAAUUCCCGCUCCAAUAGCGUAUACUAAAGUUGUUGCAGUUAAAAAGCUCGUAGUUGGAUUUCUGUGGGGACGGAGCGGCCGGCCGCACAUCGCGGUUCGAGCUAGCGCUUUCCCUACAUCCUGCCGCGAACCGUGCUACCAUUAGUUUGGUGGCGCUGGGGAUCGGCUCGAUUACUUUGAGAAAAAUAGAGUGUUCAAAGCAGGCCACAUGCCUUGAAUAAGUUAGCAUGGAAUAAUAACUAAGGACUUCGGUUCUAUUUUGUUGGUGUUCGGGACUGAAGUAAUGAUUGAUAGGGACAGUUGGGGCGGUCUGUAUUCCAAAGCGAGAGGUGAAAUUCUUAGACCUUCGGAAGACAAACAGCUGCGAAAGCGUUCCGCAAGGAUGUUCCCUUUGAUCAAGAACGAAAGUUGGGGGAUCGAAGACGAUCAGAUACCGUCGUAGUCUCAACUAUAAACUAUACCAGCUAGGGAUCGGCCAACGUUAUUUUAUACCGACUUGGUCGGCACCUUAUGAGAAAUCAAAGCAUCUGGGUUCCGGGGGGAGUAUGGUCGCAAGGCUGAAACUUAAAGGAAUUGACGGAAGGGCACCACCAGCCGUGGAGCCUGUGGCUUAAUUUGACUCAACACGGGAAAACUUACCAGGUCCAGACAUAGUAAGGAUUGACAGAUUGAUAGCUCUUUCUUGAUUCUGUGGGUGGUGGUGCAUGGCCGUUCUUAGUUGGUGGAGUGAUUUGUCUGGUUAAUUCCGUUAACGAACGAGACCCCAGCCUGCUAAAUAGCGCGCGUGAGCUUUGCUCGCGGCGAGCUUCUUAGAGGGACUAUGAUGCGCGAUAGCACAUGGAAGUUUGGGGCAAUAACAGGUCUGUGAUGCCCUUAGAUGUUCUGGGCCGCACACGGGCUACACUGGCGCCUGCAACGAGCAUAUCAGCUGGCCCGAGAGGGUCUUGGCUAAUCUUUUGAACCGGCGCCGUGCUUGGGAUUGACCUUUGCAAUUGUUGGUCAUGCAACGAGGAAUGCCUUGUAAACGCGAGUCAUCAGCUCGCAUUGAAUACGUCCCUGCCCUUUGUACACACCGCCCGUCGCUCCUACCGAUGAAUGUUCCGAUGAAAUUUUCGGAGAGCACCUGUGAACUUGGCUCUGCCUUGCGAACGGGAGGCUCAAAGUCACUUAAAUCUGAACAUUUCGAGG